This 4676-nucleotide long non-coding RNA is filed under the name Sus scrofa (pig). RNAcentral describes it as "lncRNA (ENSSSCG00000056878.1)". Lineage: Eukaryota; Metazoa; Chordata; Mammalia; Artiodactyla; Suidae. The record is from RNAcentral.
UUUUUUUAAUAAAUGAUAAUCAGAAUAUUUACUCCAGAGAAACUCAAGGUAAAUUCUCACAUCAUACCAUAGACUAAUUUCCAGAUAAAGUAAAGAGCUUAAUGUAAAAUUUUAAAUGAAAAAUACUACAGAAAAUAUAGAUGCACAAAGUAAUGGACAAAAUUUCAAAGCAUAAAUUGAUAGGUUUGACAAUUUAUAUUUUUUAAAAAUGUACAUAAUUUACAAAUGUAACAAUAAUGAACACGUAACUAGAGAAAUGUUUCAAUAAAUGUGUAAAUAGUUAAUAUAGAAAUAAUCCUAAUAACUAAAUAAAUAAUGAGCAAGGACUUAAACAGACUACAAAAGGAAUGACAAUGGUGAAGAAAUAAAAAAUUAUUCAAUAUAAUUUAUAAUAAAAGAAAUAUUUUCAAUUUUCCCCAUAUUUGUAAAUCCUUGAAAUGUACAUAUACAAUAUUGAAUUCUACUUUUUUACAUUCACAACUAACAUUUAACAUUACAUUUAUAUAAAUACUCUGCUAAACAUUUUCUAGACAUUAUUCUACAUACUUUAUAUAUAUUCACCCAAUUUAACUUUCAUAAUGCACUUUUGAGCUUGGUUCUAUUAUUAUCUCCUUUUUAUUGAUAGGAAAAUCAAAGCACUAAGAUAUUAUAUAAGUUUCCUAAAGUCACAAAGCUAGUAAGUGGUGACCUGGGACUAGAACCUAGGCAUUCUGGUUUUAGCUUCUGAACUCCCAACCACUCAUAAUACCUUGUUUCUCAACUCUUAGUAAGGAUGAGGUGAGACAAUCCCAUGUGUACUCUUCCAAGUAUAUGUUGAUUGGUUAUGAUGAUGGUUGUACAACUAUAAUAAAAUUAAUUUAAUUUUUAAAAGUGUACAUCCAUGGAUCAUUUCUGGAAAACAAUUUUUAUUAAAGCACUCUCAUGCAUAUACAUCUUAGUUUCAAAGAACUUUAAUUAUAUAACAGAGAAAAACCUAGUAUUAGAUAUUGAAAUCAGAGUGUAAAAUGUUCUGUAUAGCUGACACUCACCUGUAGAUGUUAGCCAUGAAUAACAUGGAAAAAUAAGUUUCUAGGUGAUUUUUUAAGAGCAUACUGCUAUGUUUUAAAAUUUUCCUAAAAUGAUUUGCAUAACCUUUUAGUCCAAAGUCUCUGUAAAAUCCUAUUCAAAUGUUAAAAUAAAACAUAGUAACACAUGGGCUCCUUAAACUUUAGAAAGGUUACAGGUUUGACUCACUGACAACAAAAAAGGGUAUCACUUCAUAUUUAUCCUUUGUUUACUUGAGCACCUAAGUAGGCUAAAAAAAUAACAAAAAGCACUAAGGCCCUAACAGUCGCAUCUGACUCAUUGGUUCAACAAAUACUGACUGUGGGCAUUCUAUGUGCCAGGCAUUCUUCUAGGGAUUCCAUGGCAAACAAAAAAUACCAAGUUUCUGUGCUUGUGACAUUCUCAUUCCAGCAGCAAGAAAUAAACCAUAAACAAGUAUGUGUUAAACAAAGAAAAAAGCAUUAAUAGGACUAGAGAUUGAUGGGGGAUGCUGUUUUUACAGAAUAGUUGGAAAAGCCAUAUGCCUUAAGUGAUAUUUAUGGAAAGACACAAAGAAGAGAGGACAGCAUCCAGGGAAGAGUAUUCCAUGCAGAGGGAACAGUAUGUGUGAAACCCUGCUGUGGGGGUGUGCUUAGUUUCCUGGGGACACCCAGGAGGCAAUAUGGCCCACAUGAAGUUGGGAUGGGGAAUGGGGAGGAGGCUGGAGACAAAUGCAGUCUAUGUAGGGCUGUAUAGGGCAUUGUUAGAACUUUGCAUCACACCAGUGGGGUGAAAAGUUCUGACUUAACUUCAAAAGUUUCAUUCUGAGUGUUGGAUAGAGAAGCAAUGCUAGAAAGGCAGGGAUGGAGGCAGGAAGACCAGUGAGAAGUGCAUCGCAGUAAUCCACAUGUGAGAUAAAGGGAAUUCGGACUAGAUUCACUCAUAGCAGUGGAGAGCGGGAGAAACAAUCAAAUUUGGGAUCGAUUAGAAAGGUAGACCUGGCAAGAUUCUCCAAUGGAAUGGAUGUUGGGUGUAAAAAAGAGGAAAGUGAAAGAUGACUUAGAAUAUGAGAUAAGAGCAAAGUUAAUUUCACUCAAGUGAUACAACACUUUUUGCUCUUCCACAUCAGAGUCCUGCCCCCUUUCUGUCCUGUCCCUCUCAGAGGCAGUCUGGGAAAAUGCCUCCUCUUUGUGGUUCCCGGGCACCCAAGUUAGCUUUUUGAUUAAUCCAAGAGCCUCUUGGGAAGAAUAUUGUCCUAUUAUUAUUUCUGUCUUCAAUACCUAGUACAAUGUCCAGUGUAUAGCAGAUAGUCCAUGUAAUAUUUGGUGAAUGAAUAUGCUACUUAUUUAAUGAGUGAUUGAUUGAAUAAAUAAUUAUUGGACUUUAUGUAGAAUUCAUUAUGGUGUUUUACUCUUUUUUCUAGGGAGUCAAGAAUUAAAUUUAAAAAUGUAUUUACUGUGUUUAAUAGGGUUUCUUGCAUUCUAGGCAGUCUUGAGCUUAAUUUUUCAAGUUGGUUUUCCUAAAUUACAUAUCCUAAACAACGUGUAACUAUUAAACUAGUUUUCAGAUCGUCUGGAAGCACAAGCUGGGCCUAAAUCAAAGUACAAAUUCAUUUUAUGGGGGCCUGAGGCCUGCCCAUGGCUAAGAUGUCAUAUAUCCUGAGUGUUGGAAGCUUAGUAAAUAUUUCUGAUGACUCACGUUGAAAACUUGAGAAUUAUUUUUAACUCUUAUUCCUUUUUUUAAAAAAACCAGCCAUGAAACCUGCCAAUUCUUCCUUUAUAGAAAACUUUCCAUUUCUUCAUUCUCAUGUAUUCAGGCAAUUAUAACCUCACGCCUAGAUUUCUAUAAUUUUCUUCUGACUGAUAUCAGCUGUAAGGCCCCUCACCCUUCUUCCCAAGUCCUUCCUACAUAUCACUUUCUAAUCAUUUUUUCCAAACUUCAGGAUUGAUUGGAUCAUUCCUCUUAGAACUUAAGGUCUCUCUUUUUGUCAAGGGAAGUUCCUCAGGUGAUUUUCUAGGAGUGGUCAAUUCUGGCCAGAAUUUAUGGAGUGGCUCCAUAAAUGGUUAUAUCAUUUGUCUAUAUCAUCUUGCUUCUCUUCUUCACAUGUAUGGCUCACACUCCCCUGCUCUAGGUAGACAGUCAUCUUUGCUGUUUCCCCUUGCUACACUGCAACUAUAGGAUGAUCAGGUCUGCCUUUAAUCUGAUGUCUCUACCUGAUGUGCAGAACUUCAGACUCCUCAUCUAUCUGAAAGCUGCAUGAUCUUUCAGACUGUGUUCCUGCACACCCUCUCAGGCUAUCCCCCACUCAUCCCUCCUGAAGUAAUGCUGUUCUGCAUGUAUUUCAAACUUUUAAAAAAUGUAUUAAGCUGUAGUGUGUGUAUUAAACCUUGUGGUAUGAAGGGUUAAGGAUCUGGUGUCUCCACUGCAGUAGCGUGGGUCGCUGCUAUGGUGCAGGUUUGAUCCCUGGCCUGGGAACUUCCACGUGCUGCAGGCAGGGCCAAACAAUGUAUUAUAUUGUAAAGUUCUUACUGAUAUCAGCCGUGAUAUCAGUAUAUGAUAUUUCCAUAUGGGUUUUAUAUUUCCAACUAGACUUUAAGUCCCUCAAAGGUAUAAGAUGUGUAUCUUUUCUUUUUGCUCCCAUAUUUUCAGUUACCUCACAUAGUUUAGCAUACUGUGUACUGUUAAUAAGUGCAUGUUGCCUUGAUUUGAUUUAAGAAGUAUCACAGUGGAUGUUAAAUAUCUUUUUUUAAAAAAUAAAAUUCUGUGUAACACUCAGGAUCAGGUUUGCAUAUUACAGAGCUGGGGAUUGGUAGCCAGUACCCAAGUGUUCACCUUGUGACCUCAAUAUCCUUUUUAUUGAGCUUCUUUUCAAAAAUUCAAUCUUAGUCUGUGACAUAAAGUAUUAAGAACCAAAGUUUAUAAAUUAUAUAAAAUGCAUUGAUGAUAUCCAUUGUCCAUUUAUGACUUCUAUUAUGAUGAUUUGCAGAGUCGAUAAAGCUUAGUAAUGGGAAAACAGAGAUUUUGGAGUCAGUCAGACUGUCGGUAAAACCCAGGUUCAUAUUUAUUCACUCUAGGGACAGGCAAUAUCAUUUCUCUAGUCCUUUGUCUUCUUUUCUAUACAAAAGUACAGAUAAUAAUACUAAUUACUUUAUAGGAUUGUAGUGAGACAUGCGUAUAAGACAUAAAAGAGUGCUUGACACUUGGUAAGUCUGAAAUAAAUUUUAGGAAUUGUUAUUAUUUCUCCAUUAUCAUUUUUAUUAUUAUUGUUGAGAUACACCAAGGCCUCAUUUAGUCAAAUACUAUCACAUUAAAAAUAAUUGUCAAUACACAAGCAAGAGAAGAGUAAUCGAGGACAAUGGACCUCGAAGAAAGUAAAUAUCAGAGUUUUUUUUACAUUUUAUUCCUUGGGAGUUCCCGUCGUGGCGCAGUGGUUAACGAAUCCAACUAGGAACCAUGAGGUUGCGGGUUCGGUCCCUGCCCUUGCUCAGUGGGUUAACGAUCCGGCGUUGCCGUGAGCUGUGGUGUAGGUUACAGACGCGGCUCGGAUCCCGCGUUGCUGUGGCUCUGGCGUAGGCCAGGAGCUACAGCUCCGAUUCGACCCCUAGCCUGGGAACCUCCAUAUGCCGCGGGAGCGGCCCAAGAAAUAGCAACAA